RNAcentral lists this ribosomal RNA (549 nucleotides) under uncultured bacterium. RNAcentral describes it as "bacterial SSU rRNA". It matches the Rfam family "Bacterial small subunit ribosomal RNA", at positions 355 to 896 of the family's 1533-position model. The record is from RNAcentral.
UGGGGAAUAUUGGACAAUGGGCGAAAGCCUGAUCCAGCCAUGCCGCGUGUGUGAAGAAGGUCUUUUGGUUGUAAAGCACUUUAAGUGGGGAGGAAAAGCUUAUGGUUAAUACCCAUAAGCCCUGACGUUACCCACAGAAUAAGCACCGGCUAACUCUGUGCCAGCAGCCGCGGUAAUACAGAGGGUGCAAGCGUUAAUCGGAAUUACUGGGCGUAAAGCGCGCGUAGGUGGUUAUUUAAGUCAGAUGUGAAAGCCCCGGGCUUAACCUGGGAACUGCAUCUGAUACUGGAUAACUAGAGUAGGUGAGAGGGGAGUAGAAUUCCAGGUGUAGCGGUGAAAUGCGUAGAGAUCUGGAGGAAUACCGAUGGCGAAGGCAGCUCCCUGGCAUCAUACUGACACUGAGGUGCGAAAGCGUGGGUAGCAAACAGGAUUAGAUACCCUGGUAGUCCACGCCGUAAACGAUGUCUACCAGUCGUUGGGUCUUUUAAAGACUUAGUGGCGCAGCUAACGCAUUAAGUUAUCCGCCUGGGGAGUACGGUCGCAAGAUUA